RNAcentral lists this unclassified non-coding RNA (936 nucleotides) under Hevea brasiliensis (rubber tree). Lineage: Eukaryota; Viridiplantae; Streptophyta; Magnoliopsida; Malpighiales; Euphorbiaceae. The record is from RNAcentral.
CCUCUUAAGAAGAAUCAACGAUCUUCUCAUCUUUGCUUAUAAGCACUGAACUUACACUUUCCAAUCUCAGUAUAGUUUAGAAACCUUGAAUUUGACCCAAAUAAUCAUCACAUCAAAAUCCCCAAUUUUAGUUCUGCCUUUCUUCAUUUGAGCUUAAAUGGAUGAUGGGGAGCUAGAUGUCUUGAACCAAGAAGUAUUUUCGGCUACCAACAUGGGUGAGAUUCCGAGCAAUUGCUCAAUGGACAGUUUCUUCGAUGAACUACUCAAGGAUACUCAUGCCUGUACUCACACACACACUUGCAACCCUCCUGGUCCUGAUUAUUCCCAUACACAUACCUGCUUUCAUGUACACACCAAAAUUGUGUCUGCACCUUCGGAUGAUAAGACUGGGACUGAUGAUACUGCUGAGUCCACUGAGAAAAAGUCAAAGAAACGCCCAUUAGGCAAUAGGGAGGCAGUCCGCAAGUAUAGGGAGAAGAAGAAGGCAAGGGCCGCAUCUUUGGAGGAUGAAGUUGUGAAAUUGAGGGCUUUGAAUCAGCAUUUGCUGAAGAGGCUUCAGGGACAAGCGGCAUUGGAGGCUGAGGUUGCGAGGCUCAAAUGUUUGCUUGUGGAUAUACGGGGAAGGAUUGAAGGGGAGAUUGGAUCUUUUCCAUAUCAGAAAUCAGCUAAUGACUUGAACUUGGCCAAUCCAAAUUUACCUGGUGCUUAUGUAAUGAAUCCAUGUAAUGUGCAGUGUAAUGGUCAGGCUUAUUGUUUACAUCCAGGGGCAGAUGGCAAGAGUGGGGAAGGUAUGGCCUUAAAUGGCCAAGGGCUUAAUGGUUGUGAGUUUGAUAAUCUUCAGUGUCUGGCAAAUCAAAACUCAGGAAUGAAGGAGCUUGUUGGCUGUGGACUUGGGAACCUAGUGACAAGUGCUGAUGGCAAUUCUUCUAGCUCAAG